Molecule: non-coding RNA, 29 nt
Filed under: Mus musculus (house mouse)
Lineage: Eukaryota; Metazoa; Chordata; Mammalia; Rodentia; Muridae
Source: RNAcentral
UCACUUUGUAGACCAGGCUGGCCUCGGUA